Molecule: long non-coding RNA, 3984 nt
Organism: Carassius auratus (goldfish)
Lineage: Eukaryota; Metazoa; Chordata; Actinopteri; Cypriniformes; Cyprinidae
Source: Ensembl
AAAUAGUUAUCUCUACCUGAUUUAACCCAUACAUAUUUUUAUUAUUAUUAUACUUUUUUAUAUUAAUACAUUUCUUUUUUUCUUUUUUUUUUUGGUCAUUGGUCCAUAUUAAGUAAUAUUUUUUGAGUGGAAUAAAACCAGUUAAUUUAGAUGUUCACAAGUGAUUUCAAUACAAAUGAGGACAAGGAAAAACACUGAAAUAAAAAAAAAAUAAAAAAUAAAUGUAACAAAACUGCUGCCAAAAUAGUGUUCCAAAAUGGCCACUUAUGAGUUUCCAUUAUGUUUCGGACAGUUCCUUAGCAGGCAGCUGCCUAUGUAGGGAACAAAGAAGCCCCCUAGGUUUAGAAACAGAGCUUUAGACAUUGUAGAUCUCCGUUAUCUUGUUUCUUGGAAGGAUUUAGUGGUCACUUUCCUUUGCUCUCUCACUUAACCUCAAUUCUAAAUCUCUUAGAAUAUGUUUGAAUAACCUCAGAUUUCAGAUUGCAGCCAUGAUCCUGAAAAGGUAAUCAUUGCUGACCCCUAUCCCAACAGUCUGGAAGAGGUUCUGAACUCGAGGCCUGAAGGCAACCUUAUCUACUCCAUCAACAAUCACCCACCCUGGUACCUCUGCAUUCUUCUGGCUUUCCAGCAUUACGUACUGGCGUUCAGUGGCAUCCUGGCAAUUCCUCUCAUCUUAGCAGAGCUGCUGUGCAUCAAUGUCAGCUCAUCUUAUUCAUCUCGGGCAUGAGCACUUUGCUACAGAUCACCCUCGGGACCAGGUUGCCGAUCCUCCAAGGGGGGACGUUCCCCUUCAUUACCCCGGCCUUGGCUAUCCUCGCCCUUCCCAAGUGGAGAUGCCCAAACACCAGGGCCACUUCUCACCUCAAUGCCACAGAUUCUGCAGCGCUCCUCGUGGAUGGCCAUGAGAUGUGGAAAGUCUGCAUCCAUGAGUUAAUAUCUAGGGGGCCAUUCUACUGGCCUCAAUGCUUCAGCUUGUUCUGGGCCUGUCGAGUCUCGUGGGACUAGUGCUGAGGUUCAUCGGGCCGCUGGCCAUUGCUCCCACCAUCAACCUCAUCGGACUGUCUCUCUUAAUCCAGACGGGGCAGAAGUCAGGAGCCCACUGGGGAAUUGCAGCUUUGUGGGUUACUGUAGAGUUAUGGGUAAAUUUGAGAGCCGAGUCCAUACGGUAAUUUGUAUUUCUGAUUGUGUAGGUCUUCUGCAGACUAUGCAAUGCAUGGAUCCUUUAAAAACAAAACGUGUUUAUCUGUAGAGAUGAAUCCUCUUUACUGUUUUCAUUUACAUGAUAAUACAUCACUCAGAUCCUUUGCUGACAAAUGUUGUUCAUUACUCAUCCUCAUGCAUUCCUAAGAGGAUACAUUAAUGUUGAUUAGGUUUAAGUGUCUCGUCCCUCAGACCCUCCCUGUCCAUGUGCCUCUGCCAAAGGUUUAAGGCACAUAUGUGACCCUGGACCACAAAACCAGUCUUAAGUCGCUGGGGUAAAUUUUUUGCAAUAGCCAAAAAAUCCUUGUGUGAGUCAAAAUUAUCGCUGUGGAAUUGUGACUUCACAUCGGUGUAAUAGUUUAGGAGAUGGAUAUACUGUGAAACUACAUACAUACAAUAUGUUAUAACAUUUGAAAGCACGACUGAAUGUCUAUGAAACGUCGUUCAAUAAUGCAAAUUUGAAAUAACGGCACCUAAACAUUUGAACUAAUUUUUUAUUGCAACCAUAUGUAUUAUGGAGGACGAGAAAUUACUUAAGCAUAAAUAAAUGAAUGAAUAAAUACAUAAAUGCAAAAAUAAAUAAAUGUAGAAAUACAUAAAUAAAUAUAUAUAGAAAUUAAUAUAGAAAUACAUUAAUAAAUGUAUGCAUGAAAAUGAACAUUAUUUUAGUGAAAGAGAACAUAUAGCAGUGUGGGCUGCUUUUAGUGUCUGAAUUUGUUUUUAAAUAAUGAGGUCCAAGUUUAAUAGUUUAUAUACAAAAAAUGUAUUUAUAAGUAAAUUUUAAAACAAUGUAUAGGUUUUUUUUCACUAUUGAACAACAUUCACUAACGAUAGUGAAAGACGUCUUCCCUCAUGUAGAUUGUAUGUUCUCCAGUUGGAUGUUGGACAUCUCUGCAUUCGCCCAAAUCCCAAUCCCUGUGAAUCGGUAGCGUCUGAGGCGGCAGAGGUUUUAAAGCCUCCCUAGAAGCUACGUUUGCAAUUUAAACAGUGAUUUGUAAAAAGAAAAAAUAAUUUGUUAUUUGUAAGGUCUAGGGGGUCAUUCGGCGUAUGCCUGAAAAUAUGGGACAACCUGUGUUCCAUAUAGCUUUAAUACAGAACGCUUCUCUGAUGCAUUACAUACAGAUGAUUCCAUAUUAUGUGUAACGGUUGACACCCCAAUUUCAAAUGCAAAAGAAAAUUGUCUGGGGGGCCCCAUAGUGUUUGGUGCCCUGGGCUGCUGAGGUCAAAAAUGCCUUUAGAGCUCAGAAACGAUUGCAGAGUUCAGAAAAAAAAUCUGCUGAAUUGAAUGUUCACAGAAGCACAUAGUCUUCAUUACCCUUAAUGGAAGAAGUUUGAAACAUCCAGGAACUCUUCCUCAAGCUGGCCUCCUGGCCAAACUGAUCAAUUGAUGGAGAAGUGCUUUGGUUAAGAGUGGUGACCAGUAAGCUGAUGGUCACUCUAGUUGAGCUCCAUGACCAUAUGUAGAGAUGUGAAAUACUUACAGAAGGACAAACAUCGCUGCACGCUCCACCGAUCUAGGCUUUAUGGUGGUGUGGCAAGACUUAGUCCUCUCCUCGGUGAGCAAAAAUCCAAAAAACAUGAAAAAGAUGAUCUGGUCUGAUGGACCUCAGUUCCAAGCACCAUGUUUGAAGGAAACCAGGCACUGCUCAUCACCUGCAGAGAAUAGACGACUAUGUCAAUGUCAUCAAAUGGCACAGCCAGAUCCUGGGCUUGAACCCAGUCAAAUAUUUCUGGAGAAACCUGCCCCAUCCAACCUGACAGAGCUUAAGAGGUGAAGAGGUGAGGAGAAAAAUGGCAGAUAAUUGCCAAAUGCACAUGUGCAAAGCUUGUUGCAUCAUACCAAAAAAGACUUGAGGCUAGAAAGGUGCUUCAGCUAAGUACUGAGUUAAUGGAAUGAAUACUUAUUUUUAAUACAUCUUCAAAGUUGCGACAGGUCAGUUUUUGCUUUGCCAUUGUGGUGGAUGGAGUGUAGACUGACGUGGAGAAAAAUGUCAUUUAAAGCAGUUCAACAUAAGGCAGCAACAUAACAAAAAAAUUAAGGUGUAUGAAUAAUUUCGCAAGGCACUGUAUAUAAAUAUAUAUAUAUAUAUAUAUAUAUAUAUAUAUAUAUAUAUAUAUAUAUAUAUAUAUAUAUAUAAGUCCAUCAAGCCUACACCAAGAACCGUAAGGCAGAUAAGAUCCAGCGAUUUCCGAAAGAGCUGGGGAUGCUGAAGAAGUGGUUCAAGGCAGCAGAUGAAGAGGAGAGGUCACCUCUCGCUGAGCUUCAUAUACCAUUAGGAAGAAGCUCAUAACCCUGCAAUGCACGGGAGAUGCAGGAUUGAGAAAGCUAGGAGGCAAACCUCCUUUUUAGCCACCUUUGGCUUUACGAAGUGGCAGGAGCAAUAAGCUCCAGCUUCCUAUUAGUAGUCUGGAGAAGAAGUUCAAGGUCUCUUGCAUAAUAGAGGCAGUGGUUUACCGAGGCUCCAGAGACUCCAGAGUGGUGUUGAUGAGCACUGAGGUGUGGACUAGUAGGAAGUGGAGAGCGAAAGAGGUGCUACAGAUGGCAGAGUGCUGAAUGAGACACAAAGUUUAUGUGGGAACAGUGGCAGGGGGCGAGCAGGGCUGGGAUUCACCCCCCAGUCUUGGUACGCUGAGGCAUGUGGAAAGGACAGAUGCCCUGCAGGAGGUCCUUGUAGGCGUAGAGGAGGUGAGGACCAGCAGGAUGGUAAACCUGCAUCAGCAGGGGGCAUGGAUGUGAAGGAGUGCUUGAGAAGAAACUGACCUGGAAUGACUUCUGAAAGGCAG